UGUGAUCCGCAGGACACAUGUACAUCSACUCUUUGAACGCAAAUGGCGCCCCUCK
RNAcentral lists this ribosomal RNA (55 nucleotides) under Thrips tabaci. RNAcentral's name for it is "partial 5.8S ribosomal RNA". Lineage: Eukaryota; Metazoa; Arthropoda; Insecta; Thysanoptera; Thripidae. The record is from RNAcentral.